UUUGUUUACCCCAUUUGAGCCGUAGUGUUAUUUUAUUUCAUACCCCUCUUUUGGAAUCAAGAUAGAGUCAGCAAAGCUUAAAAGAAAAAUGUCGAGCAAAACAAUAGAGUUAGAAAGUUUCCAAAAAAGAAAAGAGAGGAAAAUAUGUCCAAAAUGGAAUAAAAGAGUGUCGAGAAAAUUAGAAUCACAAAAAUCACAAAAAAAAAGUCAAAAGAAAAAAAAGAAGAAAUCAUAAUCAAGAAAAAUAAGCGGCCAGAACUACGCAUGACCUGAUUCUCCUCUUUCAGGGGUGAGAUACAUAGGCUGCCCUACUCUGGGCUCGGUCC
Molecule: long non-coding RNA, 326 nt
Filed under: Capsicum annuum
Lineage: Eukaryota; Viridiplantae; Streptophyta; Magnoliopsida; Solanales; Solanaceae
Description: long non-coding RNA (CANN_LNC018076)
Source: RNAcentral